RNAcentral lists this transfer RNA (73 nucleotides) under archaeon. Its description in RNAcentral is "tRNA-Asn". It matches the Rfam family "tRNA". From Rfam's summary of the family: Transfer RNA (tRNA) molecules are approximately 80 nucleotides in length. The record is from RNAcentral.
GCUUCGGUAGCUCAGUGGUUAGAGCACUCGGCUGUUAACCGAGGGGUCGAAGGUUCAAAUCCUUCUCGAAGCG